AGGGUUGUAGCUCAGUGGUAGAGGCCUUGCUUAGCAUGCAUGAGGUCUUGGGUUCAAUCCCCAGCACCACAA
RNAcentral lists this transfer RNA (72 nucleotides) under Heterocephalus glaber (naked mole-rat). It matches the Rfam family "tRNA". From Rfam's summary of the family: Transfer RNA (tRNA) molecules are approximately 80 nucleotides in length. Their secondary structure includes four short double-helical elements and three loops (D, anti-codon, and T loops). The record is from Rfam by way of RNAcentral. Lineage: Eukaryota; Metazoa; Chordata; Mammalia; Rodentia; Bathyergidae.